RNAcentral lists this ribosomal RNA (243 nucleotides) under uncultured Actinomycetales bacterium. RNAcentral's name for it is "partial 16S ribosomal RNA". It matches the Rfam family "Bacterial small subunit ribosomal RNA", at positions 88 to 334 of the family's 1533-position model. The record is from RNAcentral. Lineage: Bacteria; Bacillati; Actinomycetota; Actinomycetes; Actinomycetales.
UACUCGAGUGGCGAACGGGUGAGUAACACGUGGGUGAUCUGCCCUGCACUUCGGGAUAAGCCUGGGAAACUGGGUCUAAUACCGGAUAGUAGCCAUUUUUAGUGUGAUGGUUGGAAAGUUUUUUCGGUGUAGGAUGAGCUCGCGGCCUAUCAGCUUGUUGGUGGGGUAAUGGCCUACCAAGGCGGCGACGGGUAGCCGGCCUGAGAGGGUGGACGGCCACAUUGGGACUGAGAUACGGCCCAG